RNAcentral lists this long non-coding RNA (556 nucleotides) under Phascolarctos cinereus (koala). Its description in RNAcentral is "lncRNA (ENSPCIG00000037109.1)". The record is from RNAcentral. Lineage: Eukaryota; Metazoa; Chordata; Mammalia; Diprotodontia; Phascolarctidae.
AUUGUAUAUUGCAUUGAUAAAAAGGAUGUUAUUGACUAUGCAACAGUGGGCUCCUUUCCUCUCUCUCCCUCUCCCCAAAUAAACUCUCACUCAUGUCUCCUGGUCAGUGAAAAGGUGAAACGAACAAGAUUAAAUCAGACAAAAAAAAAAGCAGGCUCUAUGUAUACGAUCUAGAUUUAACUCAGACUGUGAAGAGCCUGAGAGUGAGAAGCAAAGCAAGACAGAAACACACAGAGGAGAUGGGGAGAGAGAGUGUAUGAAAGAAGGGAGAGGAGGAGAAGAAAAAAGAAGGGGAGGGAGAGGAGAGGGAGAGAGGGAGAGGGGGGAGGGAGGGGAAGGGGAAGGGGAGAGAGAGAGAGAGAGAGAGAAAGAGAGAGAGAGAGAAAGGAGUGAUGAACAGACCCUGCAAGCUCCCAUCCUUCUCCUUGCCGACGUUCCCCAGAAUCCUGGAUCGCUCACAGCUGGCACCAGAGAGACCCGGCCAAGCCCUGCCCCGCACCAGGAAUUGAGAAGAGGAAAUACCACCACUGUGCAGCCAAGCUGUGCUGAGGACUGA